Long non-coding RNA from Zonotrichia albicollis (white-throated sparrow), 1574 nucleotides. The record is from Ensembl. Lineage: Eukaryota; Metazoa; Chordata; Aves; Passeriformes; Passerellidae.
CUGAUAUAACAGCAGUUCAAGGCCCUUUUUUGCUUUCUGGAUUACAGGAUUACACCUCUGACAACUCAGUGAGGAGUUGCUGGCAGCAAGCAGAGCAGCACUGCCUGCAGAGGUGCUUCAUGGUCUGGUCAGCUCAAACUCAACACCAUGUGAAGGCCCAGCAGCACUGCAGGCGUGUUCGGCUGUCUCGAGCCUUUCUCAGCUGGCACCAGUGGGUCAUGGAAAAUAAGAACCAAGAAGCAGCAGCAGCACUAAAACAUGGAGUUCAUUGUGUCCAGGUGGCUUUCAGCCUGUGGAAAAGGAGACUGGCCCAGAAAGUGGAAGCUGACCGGAGAUUCAGGUGUCAUGCUCACCAGAUGACUGCUGAUGCUCUGUGGCAUUGGCACUCCUGCUGGCAAAGGAGCCGUGCUCUGGCAGAGCUGCAGCAGCAAUGGGCCUGGCACAGCUGCCAGGAGAAGAAGAGGCUGGUCCUGCACACAUGGUACUGCCAAACAAGGAAGCAGAAAUAUGCUGUUUUGUUCUGGGAACGUUUUCUCCUGCACAGGUGCCUUGUCUCUUGGGCCCAGGUCACUGCAUGUCACCUGAGGCAGCGUGAAGCCCUCUCUUAUUUUAAAAGAGUCAGAGAGCACCGACUGCUGGUUGGGAGCUUUGUUAAGUGGAGGGACAAACUCUGGAGAGCUGAGCAGGUGCCAGGAGGGAGCAAGCACAAGUGGCAGGAGCCCUCUCCAGGUAAAGCCUGUCACCGCUGGCGAGUGGCUGCGAGAGGACAGCGAGCCCUGCGCCUGGGAUCUGUGACCACUGUCAAACAAGCCUGCAACUACUGGACCAGAGCAGCUUCUUUUUCCCAGUGCUUACGGCAGCGCAGCACCCUCAUAGGUGUCAGGAAAAGCAGAAAGAUGGCUCUCUCUUGGCCCACCAAAAGCAGAAGAGGCAGAGAAGAAGAUUCAACACCAACUGGACAUUUUCCCAGUGCCAUUCAGCGCUGGCUGGUGAUCUACAGGAGUCAGAACAGGGCUGAGAGGUUUCUGGAGAGACCUGAUGGGGUAGGAGCCUCUCAUGCUCAUGCAAGGAUCCAGGAGAACACAGCACGGGUGGACUUGGAGGAGCGGGCUAAGAAGUGGCUUGGGAGGAGAUACCUGAAGAGGUGGCAGCACACAGUGGAGCUGCACCGGUGCCAGCACGACAGGAAACUGCUGUGCCUGGCAAGGGGGUGGCACCAGUGGAGGGAAGGCAGCAGGGUGGUGAUACUGGCUCAGGUGCUGCACCAGCAGCAGCUGAUGGAGAAGGCCUGGAGGGUGUGGAGACAAAGAUACUUGCAAAGCUGUGUGGUGCAGAAUCUUCUGGAGCAGGAAGCCAGGAGCCUCCUGUCUCAGGCCUUUGGGAGGUGGUGGCAGCUCACAGCAUUCCAGUGUAAGGACAAAGGAUCCCGCUGAAUGCAGGGGCUGCCUGCAGCUGCUGCUCCAUUCAGGACACGUGGAGGAUCCAGCUCCUGUCACAACAAAGAGGUGGUCCUGUGCUGCCAAAAAAGAACUCUCUGCUCUUACAAUAAAAGCAGGGCUGCCACUCGGAUGACA